Molecule: ribosomal RNA, 773 nt
Filed under: uncultured Neocallimastigales
Lineage: Eukaryota; Fungi; Neocallimastigomycota; Neocallimastigomycetes; Neocallimastigales
Description: partial large subunit ribosomal RNA
Rfam family: Eukaryotic large subunit ribosomal RNA
Source: RNAcentral
GUACACGCUGUGACUAGCAUAUCAAUAAGCGGAGGAAAAGAAACUAACAAGGAUUCCCUUAGUAACGGCGAGUGAAGCGGGAAGAGCUCAAAUUUGAAAUCUUGAAAGGUCUACCUUGCACGAAUUGUAGUUUAAAGAAGUGUUUUCUGUGACGAUCUGGUAUAUAAGUUCUUUGGAAUAGGACAUCACAGAGGGUGAGAAUCCCGUCUAUAUUGACAUAUUUUAGCUUUGUGAUACACUUUCAAAGAGUCGGGUUGUUUGGGAAUGCAGCCCAAAACGGGAGGUAAAUUUCUUCUAAGGCUAAAUAUUGGCGAGAGACCGAUAGCGAACAAGUACCGUGAGGGAAGGAUGAAAAGAACUUUGAAAAGAGAGUUAAAUAGUACGUGAAAUUGUCAAAAGGGAAGCGUUUAACACCAGUGUUGUUUUCUGAAAAUCAACCUCUGUUAGCUUUAUGCAUGUUUGUUUAGACCUAAUCAGCUAUCUUGCAUGUUCUAUUGUUUGCAGUGGUGCACUUUUCAGUUUACAGGUCAACAUCAGUUUUUUUUACCGUAAAAAAGUUAAAGAAAGGUAGCUCAUGGCUCCGGUCGUGAGUGUUAUAGUCUUUUUCCUAUGCGGUAGGAGAGACUGAGGUCUGCAGUGUAGGCUAUUUGGCUAGAUACUCAGGUGCUAUGUGAUACCAUUUCAUAAACAACUUGUUGAUUAUGUUUUGUCUAUUGCAUACUCGCUUGUACUAUCAUACCUACGCUUAGGAUGUUGACGCAUGAGAUAUACGC